Molecule: ribosomal RNA, 253 nt
Filed under: uncultured bacterium
Lineage: Bacteria
Description: partial 16S ribosomal RNA
Rfam family: Bacterial small subunit ribosomal RNA
Source: RNAcentral
UACGUAGGGUGCGAGCGUUAAUCGGAAUUACUGGGCGUAAAGCGUGCGCAGGCGGUGAUGUAAGACAGGUGUGAAAUCCCCGGGCUUAACCUGGGAACUGCAUUUGUGACUGCAUCGCUGGAGUGCGGCAGAGGGGGAUGGAAUUCCGCGUGUAGCAGUGAAAUGCGUAGAUAUGCGGAGGAACACCGAUGGCGAAGGCAGGUCUCUGGGCUGACACUGACGCUCAUGCACGAAAGCGUGGGGAGCAAACAGG